GUCGAGAAUCAUUCACAAUGGGGGAAACCCUGAUGGUGUGACGCCGCGUGGAGGAUGAAGGUCUUCGGAUUGUAAGCUCCUGUCAUGUGGGAGUAAAGCCGGGUGUAAAAUGCAUGCCGGUCUGAGAGUACCGCAAGAGGAAGGGACGGCUAACUCUGUGCCAGCAGCCGCGGUAAUACAGAGGUCCCAAGCGUUGUUCGGAAUCACUGGGCGUAAAGGGUGCGUAGGCGGCGCGGAAAGUCAGGGGUGAAAUCCCGGAGCUCAACUCCGGAACUGCAUUUGAUACUCCCGCGCUUGAGAACUGGAGGGGAGACCGGAAUUCACGGUGGAGCAGUGAAAUGCGUGGAUAUCGUGAGGAACACUAGUGGCGAAGGCGGGUCUCUGGACAGUAUCUGACGCUGAGGCACGAAGGCCAGGGGAGCGAACGGGAUUAGAAACCCCAGUAGUCC
This 449-nucleotide ribosomal RNA is filed under the name uncultured bacterium. Its description in RNAcentral is "partial 16S ribosomal RNA". It matches the Rfam family "Bacterial small subunit ribosomal RNA", at positions 354 to 796 of the family's 1533-position model. The record is from RNAcentral.